GUGCCAGCAGCCGCGGUAAUACGUAGGGUGCAAGCAUUAAUCGGAAUUAUUGGGCGUAAAGGGCGCGUAGGCGGAGAUGUAAGUCAGAUGUGAAAUCCCGGGGCUCAACCCCGGAACUGCAUUUGAAACUGCAUUUCUAGAGGAUAGGCGGAGAAAACGGAAUUCCACAAGUAGCGGUGAAAUGCGUAGAUAUGUGGAAGAACACCUGUGGCGAAAGCGGUUUUCUAGCUUAUUCCUGACGCUGAGGCGCGAAAGCAAGGGGAUCAAACAGGAUUAGAUACCCUGGUAGUCCUUGCCGUAAACGAUGUAUACUUGGUGUAACUGGACUCAACCCCAGUUGUGCCGAAGCUAACGCGAUAAGUAUACCGCCUGGGGAGUACGCACGCAAGUGUAAA
Molecule: ribosomal RNA, 395 nt
Filed under: uncultured bacterium
Lineage: Bacteria
Description: bacterial SSU rRNA
Rfam family: Bacterial small subunit ribosomal RNA
Source: RNAcentral